This 488-nucleotide ribosomal RNA is filed under the name Salmonella enterica. RNAcentral's name for it is "partial 23S ribosomal RNA". It matches the Rfam family "Bacterial large subunit ribosomal RNA", at positions 161 to 688 of the family's 2925-position model. The record is from RNAcentral. Lineage: Bacteria; Pseudomonadati; Pseudomonadota; Gammaproteobacteria; Enterobacterales; Enterobacteriaceae. RNAcentral also lists the same sequence under 5 other names.
AAUCCAUAGGUUAAUGAGGCGAACCGGGGGAACUGAAACAUCUAAGUACCCCGAGGAAAAGAAAUCAACCGAGAUUCCCCCAGUAGCGGCGAGCGAACGGGGAGGAGCCCAGAGCCUGAAUCAGCAUGUGUGUUAGUGGAAGCGUCUGGAAAGGCGCGCGAUACAGGGUGACAGCCCCGUACACAAAAGCGCAUGUGCUGUGAGCUCGAUGAGUAGGGCGGGACACGUGGUAUCCUGUCUGAAUAUGGGGGGACCAUCCUCCAAGGCUAAAUACUCCUGACUGACCGAUAGUGAACCAGUACCGUGAGGGAAAGGCGAAAAGAACCCCGGCGAGGGGAGUGAAAAAGAACCUGAAACCGUGUACGUACAAGCAGUGGGAGCACAGGUUUACCUGUGUGACUGCGUACCUUUUGUAUAAUGGGUCAGCGACUUAUAUUCUGUAGCAAGGUUAACCGAAUAGGGGAGCCGUAGGGAAACCGAGUCUUAAC